UACGGAGGACCCGAGCGUUAUCCGGAUUUAUUGGGUUUAAAGGGUGCGUAGGCGGAUUAGUAAGUUAGAGGUGAAAGCUCGAUGCUCAACAUCGAAAUUGCCUCUGAUACUGUUAGUCUAGAGUAUAGUUGCGGAAGGCGGAAUGUGUGGUGUAGCGGUGAAAUGCUUAGAUAUCACACAGAACACCGAUUGCGAAGGCAGCUUUCCAAGCUAUUACUGACGCUGAUGCACGAAAGCGUGGGGAGCGA
This 248-nucleotide ribosomal RNA is filed under the name uncultured Alistipes sp. RNAcentral's name for it is "partial 16S ribosomal RNA". It matches the Rfam family "Bacterial small subunit ribosomal RNA", at positions 524 to 771 of the family's 1533-position model. The record is from RNAcentral. Lineage: Bacteria; Pseudomonadati; Bacteroidota; Bacteroidia; Bacteroidales; Rikenellaceae.